UACGGGGGGAGCAAGCGUUGUUCGGAUUUACUGGGCGUAAAGGGCGCGUAGGCGGCCACCGCAAGUCGACUGUGAAAUCUCCGGGCUUAACCCGGAAAGGUCAGCCGAUACUGCGGGGCUAGAGUGCAGAAGGGGCAACUGGAAUUCUCGGUGUAGCGGUGAAAUGCGUAGAUAUCUGGAGGAAUACCGGUGGCGAAGGCGGCAUCCUGGACCAUAACUGACGCUGAGGCGCGAAAGCUAGGGGAGCAAACGGG
This 254-nucleotide ribosomal RNA is filed under the name uncultured bacterium. RNAcentral describes it as "partial 16S ribosomal RNA". It matches the Rfam family "Bacterial small subunit ribosomal RNA", at positions 524 to 776 of the family's 1533-position model. The record is from RNAcentral.